Molecule: ribosomal RNA, 899 nt
Filed under: uncultured archaeon
Lineage: Archaea
Description: bacterial SSU rRNA
Rfam family: Archaeal small subunit ribosomal RNA (bases 298-899)
Source: RNAcentral
GGGGGAAGCAUGCAGCUGCAUGCCUGCAGGUCAUGCCUUCGCCAAGCAAAAGGAACGCGCCGGCAGCAUGAUCGACAACGUGCUGAUCAUCGCCAACAGCGACCACGGCCUGGCCCGCAUCCACUCGCUCGACGGCAUGCCGAUGUUCACGGCGGGCCGCGCCGGCGGCAAGGUCAAGACCGGGAUGCACAUCGACGGCGGCGCCACGGCGGUCACCCGCCUGGGCUACACCGCCAUGCGCACCAUGGGCCUCGAAGUCCAGUCAUGGGGCACCAAGAGCAACAACACCUCGAAGGAACUCGGCGAAAUCCUCGCCUAGUCUCCUCGGACAGCCGGCAAAAAAGGGGGCGGAAACGCCCCCUUUUUUCAUGCCUGGAGCCGACGCCCGCUGGUUUCGGGCACGGUACAGCCGCGCAAUCCCUCAAUCUGUGCCCAUCCCGCCGCGGUAAUACCCGCGGCCCGAGUGGUGCUCAUUAUUAUUGAGCCUAAAGCGUCCGUAGCUGGCCGGGCAAAUCUCCGGGGAAAUCGGGCGGCCCAACCGUCCGAAGACCGGAGACACUGCUCGGCUUGAGAUCGGGAGAGGGAGGAGGUACUCCUGGGGUAGGGGUAAAAUCCUGUAAUCCUGGGGGGACCACCAGUGGCGAAGGCGUCCUCCUAGAACGAAUCUGACAGUGAGGGACGAAGCCCUAGGGCGCAAACGGGAUUAGAUACCCCGGUAGUCUAGGGUGUAAACGCUGCAGACUUGGUGUUGGGGGUCCUGCGUGGGCUCCCAGUGCCGGAGUGAAGAUGUUAAGUCUGCCGCUUGGGGAGUACGGUCGCAAGACUGAAACUUAAAGGAAUUGGCGGCAGAGCACCGCAACGGGAGGAGCGUGCGGUUCAAUUGCACCACCCCCGGGGAU